This 253-nucleotide ribosomal RNA is filed under the name uncultured bacterium. RNAcentral describes it as "partial 16S ribosomal RNA". It matches the Rfam family "Bacterial small subunit ribosomal RNA", at positions 524 to 776 of the family's 1533-position model. The record is from RNAcentral.
UACGUAGGGGGCAAGCGUUGUCCGGAUUUAUUGGGCGUAAAGAGCGUGUAGGCGGCCAUACAGGUCCGUUGUGAAAACUGGAGGCUUAACCUCCAGACGUCGAUGGAAACCGUAUGGCUAGAGUCCGGAAGAGGAGAGUGGAAUUCCUGGUGUAGCGGUGAAAUGCGCAGAUAUCAGGAAGAACACCCGUGGCGAAGGCGGCUCUCUGGGCCGGUACUGACGCUGAGGAGCGAAAGCGUGGGGAGCGAACAGG